UUUAAGAUUGAGACAAUUAGGAGUUUUCGUGGAUACAAGCUUGUGUUUUGUCCCACCAUCAGUGAUCCAACUGGUCAGUGUAAUAAUAUUGGAAGAUUUUUUGAUAAUGAGAAUGGACUGCGUUUGAUCAUGAGCGAAAAUUUUAAACCUUUUGAAGUUGUAUUCGUUGAUGUUGAAGAUACUGCUGGAUUCGGAAGAUCUGUAGUUUGAAUAAAAAAAUUCAACCCUUUGAAAUUGUAUUCGUUGAUGUUCAAGAUGCUUCUCGAUCCGAAGAUCUGUAGUUUAAAUAAAAUUUCCAAUCAAGUAUUCAAUAACAAGUUAGGCUUACGGUUUUUAAAACCUUUGCUUUGUAUUUCGUCAUGAUUUAGUGUGGGGUCUUUUUGGUGGGUCGAUUAUCUAAAUGCUUUUUCGGAC
This 414-nucleotide long non-coding RNA is filed under the name Medicago truncatula (barrel medic). RNAcentral's name for it is "long non-coding RNA (MTRU_LNC004225)". The record is from RNAcentral. Lineage: Eukaryota; Viridiplantae; Streptophyta; Magnoliopsida; Fabales; Fabaceae.